Molecule: ribosomal RNA, 468 nt
Filed under: uncultured bacterium
Lineage: Bacteria
Description: partial 16S ribosomal RNA
Rfam family: Bacterial small subunit ribosomal RNA
Source: RNAcentral
GACGAACGCUGGCGGCGUGCUUAACACAUGCAAGUCGAACGGAAAGGCCCUGCUUUUGUGGGGUGCUCGAGUGGCGAACGGGUGAGUAACACGUGAGUAACCUGCCCUUCACUUUGGGAUAACUUCAGGAAACUGGGGCUAAUACCGGAUAGGAGCUCCUGCUGCAUGGUGGGGGUGGGAAAGUUUCGGCGGUUGGGGAUGGACUCGCGGCUUAUCAGCUUGUUGGUGGGGUAGUGGCUUACAAAGGCUUUGACGGAUAGCCGGCCUGAGAGGGUGACGGGCCACAUUGGGAAUGAGAUGCGGCACAGACUCCUAGGGGAGGCAGCAGUGGGGAAUAUUGCACAAUGGGCGGAAGCCUGAUGCAGCAACGCCGCGUGCGGGAUGACGGCUUUCGGGUUGUAAACCGCUUUCUCCUGUGACGAAGCGUGAGUGACGGUAAUGGGUAAAGAAGCACCGGCUAACUACGUG